GGUGAUGUUGUGGCUCUAAAAAGAGAGAGAGAGAUAUGGGUUCAUGUGUUUCAGUGCAUAAGAGCUCUCAAGAGCCAGCCUCAGCCAUGAAAGUUGGACUUUCUUUUGGGUCUAAAACAGAUAAUAACCUCAUCAUUCCACCAUCACCUGUUAAGGAGAAACCAGUUGCCAAUGGUGACUUUGCUUUCAUAUCUCAAUCGCCCUAUACUUUCAAAGACUUUGGUAAUUUUCCUUCUUUUUCGUUUUACCUUUUUGUCUGUGUGUGUGUUUAGUGAAAUAAAUAGGUUGGAAUUACUUUGCUUGGUUACGGGGUAAAGACAAUCUAUUUGGCUUUUGUCUCACUUUUUUUUCUUUUAAUCUUCAAUGGAGUGUGAAAAAAUCUAUUCUAUUUAACUUGUUUUUUCUCUGUUUCAGGAUGAUGUUUUAUUUUUAUGAUGUUAGAUCUGAAAUGGGUAUUUGGUUUGUCAGAGUUUUCAUUUUUCUUACUAUCAACAUGUUGAUCUUUAUAUCAAGUAGUCUUGUGUUCUUUAUUUAAAGAAAAAAAAUAUGAAUAUAUUGUUGGAUUAAUGAGUGAUGAUGCUUGUAGUUAUCUAUUCUUAUAAGGUUAUUUUUCAAUGUCUGCCAUGAAUGAUAUGCCUAAUGAUAUUUGUGUAGGCCCUCCUGAUUCAUGAUUAUGAGAUAAACAUGGUGAUAUUUUCAUUGUCUUUUUCUUGGUCGUCCAUGUUAUAGUUUCUUAGCAUAAUUCUGGCUUGUUUGGGGACAUUUCAAAACAUUUUCACUAUUAUAUGAGUGCAAGCUCUUCUAUUUUAGCUUAAAUUUUGGACUUUCCUUCUCCUUCUUAGAUGAUUUUAGACCCUUUCUUUGACCUCCCCCUGCCCUCCAUGGUAGUAUAUUUAGUUUGCUUGUUAAUUAAUCUAUCAUGGAUUAGAGCUCAGUUUUCUAACUUUUUCUGAACAUAACACUGUUAAACAUGAUGAAUAUUGUACAAAAAGGUAGCUAUCCUUUGGUUUUUUUUUCCACUUGUCUUGCAAGAAAAGUCAUUGGCCGUUUUGGAAUGGCUAGGCCCAUUGGAAACUUGUUAGGUUACCCGAAAACGACAUCGCUAAUCGCGAAUUCUAGUAUGACAUAAAAUAAAGCUAAUUUUUCACAUAUAUGGCAGUAUUCAAUUCGAAGUUGAGAACCUAACUUUAGCCUUAUAUAUCCUUGUUUAAUGACUUACUGUCCAAUGUGGAAUAGAUAGACAAACCAGCAAGUAGCAAUCUUUUGAUGUAUCUAUCUAUUUUUGUAAGUAUAUAGGGGGAACCUUUUUUGUGGUAAAUUUAUUAGCCCUUGAUGGAUGGACCACUCUUAAAUAGUAGGUAGCUGCAAAAGAGUUUUAAGGGAGUUGUCUUUUAACUGUCAAUAAUUUGACAUAAAUGGAGAUUAAAACCCCAAGAAAGACAACUUGUGGAUUAUGUUGUGGUCCUUACUACAUGUACAAUUUAUGUGUCAAUACAGUACAACACUCGGAGAUAAAUCAUGGGACUGUUGUUGCUGAUGUAUAUGUCCAUCGAAUGUCAAAGCGAUAUAGCGUUUUUCCAAGGAUGUUCUGUUGCUUGCUACAUCAUAUACAUGUUACAGUUUCUGAAAAUUGUACAGUUGUAAUGUUGAACAUCAUGUUGAUAUUAUUUUCUAUAUUACUUUCAUGAUAAACAUUUCAAUGUAUUUCAGCAUAUUCAUCAAUUUGCUCCCUUUUUGCUAUCUAAAUACCUUAAGCUGAAACAAUUUUUUAUUCUGCAGGUAGUAAAGAAGAAACCUUUUUCGAUUCCCGAGCAUAUCUCGAUUCUGAUUGUGAGGAUGAUUUCUUCAGUGUCAAUGGUGGUAAGAAUAGUAUAACUGUUCGAAUUAACUCGUAUAAUGAGUACUGAUUGCUGUAAUAUGACUGAUACUUCGCUUUCGAGUUGAGUACACGUUCCUUUUUCGAGUCUAUCAUAGUUUUGUCAUCCAAAAGUUGUAAUCUAUGUGCAGAUUUUACUCCGUCUCGUGGCAAUACCCCUGUUCAUCAUAGCUUCUCCGUCGGGACAACACCUCGAGUUAGCAAGGUCACCGUGGAAGGAUCACCUAUGUCUGUUCUGGAAACAUCCCCGAUGGGAAAAAAGAAGAAGCUCCUCGAACUGUUCCGAGAGAGCGUUAGAGAAGACCGAAACCUUACUUCAAAAUCUGCAAAUGUUACCCCUUAUCAUGUCUCUGGAGCUACCUCACUUUGCAGU
This 2249-nucleotide long non-coding RNA is filed under the name Gossypium raimondii (Peruvian cotton). RNAcentral describes it as "long non-coding RNA (GRAI_LNC004444)". The record is from RNAcentral. Lineage: Eukaryota; Viridiplantae; Streptophyta; Magnoliopsida; Malvales; Malvaceae.